UCUGAUGUCACCUCCAACAAAUAUUGCC
This 28-nucleotide non-coding RNA is filed under the name Rattus norvegicus (Norway rat). The record is from RNAcentral. Lineage: Eukaryota; Metazoa; Chordata; Mammalia; Rodentia; Muridae.